RNAcentral lists this ribosomal RNA (118 nucleotides) under bacterium 1XD42-54. The record is from RNAcentral.
UCUGGUGGCGAUGCGCUUAGGGGAAACACCCGUACCCAUCCCGAACACGAUGGUUAAGACCUAAGCGGCCGAUGGUACUGCACUGGAGACGGUGUGGGAGAGUAGGUGGCUGCCAGAU